RNAcentral lists this ribosomal RNA (254 nucleotides) under uncultured prokaryote. Its description in RNAcentral is "partial 16S ribosomal RNA". It matches the Rfam family "Bacterial small subunit ribosomal RNA", at positions 524 to 777 of the family's 1533-position model. The record is from RNAcentral.
UACGGAGGAUGCGAGCGUUAUCCGGAUUUAUUGGGUUUAAAGGGUGCGUAGGCGGCUUUUUAAGUCAGCGGUGAAAUUUUGCAGCUUAACUGUAAAAGUGCCGUUGAUACUGUGAGGCUAGGAUUUGGUUGCUGUGGGUGGAAUGUGUGGUGUAGCGGUGAAAUGCUUAGAGAUCACACAGAAUAUCGAUUGCGAAGGCAGCUCACAAAGCCAAGAUUGACGCUGAGGCACGAAAGUGUGGGGAUCAAGCAGGA